GGAGGGGUGUCCGAGUUGGCCGAAGGAGCACGACUGGAAAUCGUGUAAGCCCCGUAAAGGCUUCGUGGGUUCGAAUCCCACCCCCUCCG
RNAcentral lists this transfer RNA (89 nucleotides) under bacterium. RNAcentral describes it as "tRNA-Ser". It matches the Rfam family "tRNA". From Rfam's summary of the family: Transfer RNA (tRNA) molecules are approximately 80 nucleotides in length. Their secondary structure includes four short double-helical elements and three loops (D, anti-codon, and T loops). Further hydrogen bonds mediate the characteristic L-shaped molecular structure. tRNAs have two regions of fundamental functional importance: the anti-codon, which is responsible for specific mRNA codon recognition, and the 3' end, to which the tRNAs corresponding amino acid is attached (by aminoacyl-tRNA synthetases). tRNAs cope with the degeneracy of the genetic code in two manners: having more than one tRNA (with a specific anti-codon) for a particular amino acid; and 'wobble' base-pairing, i.e. permitting non-standard base-pairing at the 3rd anti-codon position. RNAcentral also lists the same sequence under 2 other names. The record is from RNAcentral.